UGGGGCGUCGCCAAGUGGUAAGGCAGCGGGUUUUGGUUCCGCCAUGCGUUGGUUCGAAUCCAGCCGCCCCAG
Molecule: transfer RNA, 72 nt
Filed under: Bacteroidota bacterium
Lineage: Bacteria; Pseudomonadati; Bacteroidota
Also listed under: 1 other name
Description: Bacteroidetes bacterium (bioreactor sludge metagenome) tRNA-Gln
Rfam family: tRNA
About the family: Transfer RNA (tRNA) molecules are approximately 80 nucleotides in length.
Source: RNAcentral